Cylas formicarius (sweet potato weevil) is the source of this 451-nucleotide long non-coding RNA. RefSeq lists it as uncharacterized. The record is from RefSeq and is a predicted model, not a curated record. NCBI's taxonomy places the organism in Eukaryota, Metazoa, Arthropoda, Insecta, Coleoptera, Brentidae. The transcript has 3 exons.
ACCAUAGAUACUUUUUAACUGUACAACUACAGGUUAUUGUAGAAUUUUAAGACGGCGUUGACACAGACUUUUUAGAUAGCAAAGAGAGGGCCACCAAAUCAAUUUAAAAUGUCCCAACUGCGGACACCGUAAUUACGUAGGUGUGGAAGAGACAAUGUAAGAAAACAGAUUGAAUUCAGAGGUAUAGAAGCGAAACGAAAUUUAUGAAACAAUUUUAAUUAAUUAAUUUUGUAAAAUCGGUAGAUCCUGCGACGUCCCAAGUAUUGUAUUUUAAAUAUUCCUUUCGUUCGUAAGGAAGCCCAUUCAGCCAUUCUAGAGCGCUUUAGAGCAAGAUAUAAUAGAUUUCCAAGCAGGCGGCGGGCGGUGUAUGAAAGUAUGAUAUGUCGGGAGCUUUAAGUUCUAUAGGAUGUCGACGUAUAAAGCUCUCGGGCAAUAGCUUAUUUGAUGUGAC